UACGGAGGAUGCAAGCGUUAUCCGGAUUCAUUGGGUUUAAAGGGUGCGUAGGCGGAAUGAUAAGUCAGUGGUGAAAGCCUGCGGCUUAACCGUAGAAAUGCCAUUGAUACUGUCAUUCUUGAGUAUAGUUGAGGUGGAUGGAAUGUGUAAAGUAGCGGUGAAAUGCUUAGAUAUUACACAGAACACCAAUUGCGAAGGCAGUUCACUAAACUAUUACUGACGCUGAGGCACGAAAGCGUGGGGAGCAAACAGG
RNAcentral lists this ribosomal RNA (253 nucleotides) under uncultured bacterium. RNAcentral's name for it is "partial 16S ribosomal RNA". It matches the Rfam family "Bacterial small subunit ribosomal RNA", at positions 524 to 776 of the family's 1533-position model. The record is from RNAcentral.